This 359-nucleotide long non-coding RNA is filed under the name Homo sapiens (human). Its description in RNAcentral is "non-protein coding lnc-SEC22A-14:3". The record is from RNAcentral. Lineage: Eukaryota; Metazoa; Chordata; Mammalia; Primates; Hominidae.
CUUCAAUUGCCCUAUCUUCACACCUGAACACUAUUGCUCCGGUAUCCUGCCAUUUUGGAUCAGGGCGGUUGACGGUGGAUUCACUUCCCAUCAGCCCUUGAGGCUGCAGGGACCAGCCCUUUGUACAGUGGAGAAGCCCAGGCGGCCUAGAAUCCAGUGUCGUCCGUGAGUGCUUGGCUGGUGUUCAAGUGCAUCUUCCAGCCUGAGACCGCGUGGACUCGCUCAUCGUGAGGGCGAGAGGAGGAUAAGCCCAUUGGGCUGUCGGCUGAGAGUGAGGUGCGGGGUAAGGGAGUAGAUUUAUAGCUAUAGUGACUAAAAAUAAAAGGAUGUUGGCUUAGGUGGAAAACCUCUCUGCUUUG